CUUGCACUCUUUGGACGUCGACCGGCGCACGGGUGAGUAACGCGUAUCCAACCUUCCCAUUACUGUGGGAUAACCUGCCGAAAGGCAGACUAAUACCGCAUAGUCUUCGAUGAUGGCAUCAGAUUUGAAGUAAAGAUUUAUCGGUAAUGGAUGGGGAUGCGUCUGAUUAGCUUGUUGGCGGGGUAACGGCCCACCAAGGCUACGAUCAGUAGGGGUUCUGAGAGGAAGGUCCCCCACAUUGGAACUGAGACACGGUCCAAACUCCUACGGGAGGCAGCAGUGAGGAAUAUUGGUCAAUGGACGGAAGUCUGAACCAGCCAAGUAGCGUGCAGGAUGACGGCCCUAUGGGUUGUAAACUGCUUUUGUAUGGGGAUAAAGUUAGGGACGUGUCCCUAUUUGCAGGUACCAUACGAAUAAGGACCGGCUAAUUCCGUGCCAGCAGCCGCGGUAAUACGGAAGGUCCAGGCGUUAUCGGGAUUUAUUGUGUUUAAAGGGAGCGUAGGCUGGAGAUUAAGUGUGUUGUGAAAUGUAGACGCUCAACGUCUGAAUUGCAGCGCAUACUGGUUUCCUUGAGUACGCACAACGUUGGCGGAAUUCGUCGUGUAGCGGUGAAAUGCUUAGAUAUGACGAAGAACUCCGAUUGCGAAGGCAGCUGACGGGAGCGCAACUGACGCUUAAGCUCGAAGGUGCGGGUAUCAAACAGGAUUAGAUACCCUGGUAGUCCGCACAGUAAACGAUGGAUGCCCGCUGUUGGUACCUGGUAUCAGCGGCUAAGCGAAAGCAU
This 784-nucleotide ribosomal RNA is filed under the name uncultured Bacteroidota bacterium. RNAcentral's name for it is "bacterial SSU rRNA". It matches the Rfam family "Bacterial small subunit ribosomal RNA", at positions 74 to 860 of the family's 1533-position model. Lineage: Bacteria; Pseudomonadati; Bacteroidota. The record is from RNAcentral.